GUCUGUGGCCAUGCCACCCUGAACAAGCCUGAUGUCUGAUUUCAGAAGCUAAGCAGGGUCAGGCCUGGUUAGUGCUUGGAUGGAAGACCACCUAGGAAGACUAGGUACUGUAGGCA
This is a non-coding RNA of Pteropus alecto (black flying fox), 116 nucleotides long. The record is from Rfam. Lineage: Eukaryota; Metazoa; Chordata; Mammalia; Chiroptera; Pteropodidae.